UACAGAGGUCUCAAGCGUUGUUCGGAUUCAUUGGGCGUAAAGGGUGUGUAGGUGGCGCCGUAAGUCGGGUGUGAAAUUUCGGAGCUUAACUCCGAAACUGCAUUCGAUACUGCGGUGCUUGAGGACUGGAGAGGAGACUGGAAUUCAUGGUGUAGCAGUGAAAUGCGUAGAGAUCAUGAGGAAGACCAGUGGCGAAGGCGGGUCUCUGGACAGUUCCUGACACUGAGAUACGAAGGCCAGGGGAGCAAACGGG
This 253-nucleotide ribosomal RNA is filed under the name uncultured bacterium. RNAcentral describes it as "partial 16S ribosomal RNA". It matches the Rfam family "Bacterial small subunit ribosomal RNA", at positions 524 to 776 of the family's 1533-position model. The record is from RNAcentral.